This 372-nucleotide ribosomal RNA is filed under the name uncultured organism. RNAcentral's name for it is "bacterial SSU rRNA". It matches the Rfam family "Bacterial small subunit ribosomal RNA", at positions 526 to 896 of the family's 1533-position model. The record is from RNAcentral.
CAGAGGGGGCAAGCGUUGUUCGGAAUUACUGGGCGUAAAGGGCGCGUAGGCGGCCUGCUAAGUCGAACGUGAAAUCCCUGGGCUCAACCCAGGAACUGCGUCCGAUACUGGUUGGCUUGAAUUCGGGAGAGGGAUGUGGAAUUCCAGGUGUAGCGGUGAAAUGCGUAGAUAUCUGGAGGAACACCGGUGGCGAAGGCGGCAUCCUGGACCGAUAUUGACGCUGAUGCGCGAAAGCCAGGGGAGCAAACGGGAUCAGAUACCCCGGUAGUCCUGGCCCUAAACGAUGAAUGCUUGGUGUGGCGGGUAUCGAUCCCUGCCGUGCCGAAGCUAACGCAUUAAGCAUUCCGCCUGGGGAGUACGGUCGCAAGGCUG